Molecule: non-coding RNA, 125 nt
Organism: Pseudozyma hubeiensis SY62
Lineage: Eukaryota; Fungi; Basidiomycota; Ustilaginomycetes; Ustilaginales; Ustilaginaceae
Source: the annotation of a RefSeq genome assembly
GCUCGCUUGGCUAAGUGGUACAGCGCGCCACUUGUACAUAAGGCACUUCAGCAGAGUCCGCACUUGCGGAAGUGUCCUGACUUACAGGCAUGGCGAGAUCACUCGUUCGAACCGGGUAGUGAGCA